GACGAACGCUGGCGGCGUGCUUAACACAUGCAAGUCGAACGGAAAGGCCCUGCUUGCAUGGUAUUCGAGUGGCGAACGGGUGAGUAACACGUGGGUUAUCCGCCCUGUACUUUGUGGUAAGCCUUGGAAACUGGGUCUAUUACCGGAUAGGGGCCAUUAUUAGUGUGAUGGUUGGAAAGUUUUUUGGGUGUAGGGAGAGUUCGCGGGCUAAUAGCUUGUUGGUGGGGUGAUGGCCUACCAAGGCGGCGAAAGGUAGCCGGCCUGCGGGGGUGGACAGCCAAAUUGGGGACGAGGAUAGGCCCAAGAGCCUAAGGGGGGCAGCAGGGGGGAAUAUUGCACAAUGGGGACGAGGCUGAUGGAGGGAAGCCGCGGGGGGGAAGGCGGGCUUGGGGUUGUAAAAUCGUUUCGGUAGGGAAGAAGGUUUUUGUGACGGUACCUAGAGAAGAAGCACCGGCUAACUACGUG
RNAcentral lists this ribosomal RNA (465 nucleotides) under uncultured bacterium. Its description in RNAcentral is "partial 16S ribosomal RNA". It matches the Rfam family "Bacterial small subunit ribosomal RNA", at positions 28 to 507 of the family's 1533-position model. The record is from RNAcentral.